GCGGCUCGCUCCUGACAUUAUUCUUAUUUUGUCAAAGUACGUACGUUCACUUCUUUUAUUUUCAGUGACGUGUACUUCCCUUUUCUCAUGAUAUAAAGGAAACCAUCUCGACGUCAAGAAAAGUGCGCCUGAGCUUUUUUUAAUAGCGAAAAGUCGCAGGCAUUUAGCGGAGGUGUUUUGCGCGAACUUUUGUCAAGAAUCGUACGUCUUCCUCAACAAUGCACAGCCGGUUGGAUCCGAUUACAUUUUCAAAACUAGCAUUUUGAUACGAGUGUAACGCGAGAAAUAAAGAAGAAUAAAGAGGAACAGAUACAUAUAGAUGUACGGUUUAGAUAUUUCCGAAAAUAGGAAAUUGGUAUAUUUGUACAAUAUUCCCUCGGCGUUCCGAUCGUUCAAAUGAUAUCUUUUAAUUUUGAAUAACAUAUCAUUUGCCGCGUCAGUCACGCAAUAUUUCGGUGAAAUGGAUUUGGGAAACCGCAUUGUUGGAGAAGGGCACUUGUGUGAGAGUAUGUCUGUAUACAUUUGUACACGCGUUGUUGCGAGGAAGCAACAGGGUGUCGGUAGAUCUCUGCCGCAUUUGUAACACCUCUGGAAACGUACACCGGGUGCUCGCAUAAUUUAACAUUUGUUCGAUUAUUUUAUUGUUACUCAUUGUCAGUUACUUUGGUGAAUAUUUUAUUUGUUAACAAACUUUUGUAUAAUUUUAUACAAUUUUGUAUAAUUUUAUCGCCUUUAUUCUAAAAAUAAUUUUUUUUUUUUUAAAUGAGAGAAUAAUGCCUUUAAAGAAGGGUCGAGACGAUGAUGUCCGCUGACUUAACACAUUUAAGAAAGGGGUUUUAAAAUUACAUCAUAAAGCAGAUACAAAAGCAAGAGAACGACUCGAAACUUUUUGUCUUUAAUAUAACUUCUCAGAGAUGCACAUGAAGGAAGAUAGCUGCUUGAUAUAAUUAUAAUUUAUGCAAGUCAUAAAAGGUUAAACAUACUCUGAGUAGAGGAGAAAAUUGUGAAUUUAAGUAAUAAAAAAAAACGCAGAUAUAUCUUGUGGCAUACUGCCGGAUUUAGAAUUAAUUCCCUGUGCUAAUGUAAUUAUUUCUUAAUCUUCGUGAAUGGUCGAGAUUUCAUGUGCCACAUAAACUUCUUUGGGAUCUCGUCUCGAGAUCCGAACGUGCAAAUACGAGCGCGAAUAUUAAACCGCGUUCUGUUUAAGCUCUACUUAUUUCCCGUGUCUUUAAAGCGAGUCAUGAUGAAAGUCGCCAUGGAGAAAAUUGCUGCAAUAUUGUGCCCGUGAGUAAUGUUUAACCGAGAUAGAAAAAAACAUACUCUUUUACUAUCUACAUGAGCAAGUUUCACAAACAAAUUUUUUCAAAUUAUCCAAAAUACAGCAAUUUUAAUUCCCGCGCGAUUCAACUUUUACCACUCGUCCUUACUCGCGGUAUUUGAUAGUUAUCCGUUUUAUUUUAUGCCAAAAAUCAUGUACGGUACAUCGUGAACAUAUAUCUGUUACAAUUUUUGUAAAUCUACCUCUCUCAAAGUUAUGAAACAGAAAGUAAUGUAGCAUUUACCAAUACAAUGCGCUAAAUAUUUGAUCAUUGACGAACUUAAGUUAAUUAACAUCGCAAUGCAAAGUAUUACGUGAUUAUUCGUAUUUGCGCUGAUCGUAAUUAAUCGUGUUUUUGCAAGUGAGUGUGAAAAAAUGUCAUGAAGAAACAAUAAAAGAUGAAUAAGAAAGAAAAAAGAAUCGGGGGGAGAUUUCAGGCGGCAACGAAACAUAAAGUGAGCAAUACAUUUUUUUUUUAUUUGAGAUUUUUUUAUUUGAGGUGUGUAGUAGAUUAUUUAAA
Long non-coding RNA from Formica exsecta, 1838 nucleotides. RefSeq lists it as uncharacterized. The record is from RefSeq and is a predicted model, not a curated record. Lineage: Eukaryota; Metazoa; Arthropoda; Insecta; Hymenoptera; Formicidae. The transcript is spliced from 3 exons.